GGGUUGUGAGGUUAAGCGACUAAGCGUACACGGUGGAUGCCCUGGCAGUCAGAGGCGAUGAAGGACGUGCUAAUCUGCGAAAAGCGUCGGUAAGGUGAUAUGAACCGUUAUAACCGGCGAUGUCCGAAUGGGGAAACCCAGUGCAAUUCGUUGCACUAUCGUUAACUGAAUACAUAGGUUAACGAGGCGAACCGGGGGAACUGAAACAUCUAAGUACCCCGAGGAAAAGAAAUCAACCGAGAUUCCCCCAGUAGCGGCGAGCGAACGGGGAGCAGCCCAGAGUCUGAAUCAGCUUGUGUGUUAGUGGAACGGUCUGGAAAGUCCGACGGUACAGGGUGAUAGUCCCGUACACCAAAAUGCACAGGUUGUGAACUCGAAGAGUAGGGCGGGACACGUGGUAUCCUGUCUGAAUAUGGGGGGACCAUCCUCCAAGGCUAAAUACUCCUGACUGACCGAUAGUGAACCAGUACCGUGAGGGAAAGGCGAAAAGAACCCCGGCGAGGGGAGUGAAAAAGAACCUGAAACCGUGUACGUACAAGCAGUGGGAGCACCUUCGGGUGUGACUGCGUACCUUUUGUAUAAUGGGUCAGCGACUUAUAUUCUGUAGCAAGGUUAACCGUAUAGGGGAGCCGCAGGGAAACCGAGUCUUAACUGGGCGUUAAGUUGCAGGGUAUAGACCCGAAACCCGGUGAUCUAGCCAUGGGCAGGUUGAAGGUUGGGUAACACUAACUGGAGGACCGAACCGACUAAUGUUGAAAAAUUAGCGGAUGACUUGUGGCUGGGGGUGAAAGGCCAAUCAAACCGGGAGAUAGCUGGUUCUCCCCGAAAGCUAUUUAGGUAGCGCCUCGUGAACUCAUCUUCGGGGGUAGAGCACUGUUUCGGCUAGGGGGUCAUCCCGACUUACCAACCCGAUGCAAACUACGAAUACCGAAGAAUGUUAUCACGGGAGACACACGGCGGGUGCUAACGUCCGUCGUGAAGAGGGAAACAACCCAGACCGCCAGCUAAGGUCCCAAAGUCAUGGUUAAGUGGGAAACGAUGUGGGAAGGCACAGACAGCCAGGAUGUUGGCUUAGAAGCAGCCAUCAUUUAAAGAAAGCGUAAUAGCUCACUGGUCGAGUCGGCCUGCGCGGAAGAUGUAACGGGGCUAAACCAUGCACCGAAGCUGCGGCAGCGACACUAUGUGUUGUUGGGUAGGGGAGCGUUCUGUAAGCCUGCGAAGGUGUGCUGUGAGGCAUGCUGGAGGUAUCAGAAGUGCGAAUGCUGACAUAAGUAACGAUAAAGCGGGUGAAAAGCCCGCUCGCCGGAAGACCAAGGGUUCCUGUCCAACGUUAAUCGGGGCAGGGUGAGUCGACCCCUAAGGCGAGGCCGAAAGGCGUAGUCGAUGGGAAACAGGUUAAUAUUCCUGUACUUGGUGUUACUGCGAAGGGGGGACGGAGAAGGCUAUGUUAGCCGGGCGACGGUUGUCCCGGUUUAAGCAUGUAGGCUGAUUGUCCAGGCAAAUCCGGAUAAUCAAGGCUGAGGUGUGAUGACGAGGCACUACGGUGCUGAAGUAACAAAUGCCCUGCUUCCAGGAAAAGCCUCUAAGCAUCAGGUAACAUCAAAUCGUACCCCAAACCGACACAGGUGGUCAGGUAGAGAAUACCAAGGCGCUUGAGAGAACUCGGGUGAAGGAACUAGGCAAAAUGGUGCCGUAACUUCGGGAGAAGGCACGCUGGUGUGUAGGUGAAGCCCCUGCGGGUGGAGCUGAGACCAGUCGAAGAUACCAGCUGGCUGCAACUGUUUAUUAAAAACACAGCACUGUGCAAACACGAAAGUGGACGUAUACGGUGUGACGCCUGCCCGGUGCCGGAAGGUUAAUUGAUGGGGUUAUCCGUAAGGAGAAGCUCUUGAUCGAAGCCCCGGUAAACGGCGGCCGUAACUAUAACGGUCCUAAGGUAGCGAAAUUCCUUGUCGGGUAAGUUCCGACCUGCACGAAUGGCGUAAUGAUGGCCAGGCUGUCUCCACCCGAGACUCAGUGAAAUUGAACUCGCUGUGAAGAUGCAGUGUACCCGCGGCAAGACGGAAAGACCCCGUGAACCUUUACUAUAGCUUGACACUGAACAUUGAGCCUUGAUGUGUAGGAUAGGUGGGAGGCUUUGAAGCGUGGACGCCAGUCUGCGUGGAGCCAACCUUGAAAUACCACCCUUUAAUGUUUGAUGUUCUAACGUUGGCCCCUUACCGGGGUUGCGGACAGUGUCUGGUGGGUAGUUUGACUGGGGCGGUCUCCUCCCAAAGCGUAACGGAGGAGCACGAAGGUUAGCUAAUCCUGGUCGGACAUCAGGAGGUUAGUGCAAUGGCAUAAGCUAGCUUGACUGCGAGCGUGACGGCGCGAGCAGGUGCGAAAGCAGGUCAUAGUGAUCCGGUGGUUCUGAAUGGAAGGGCCAUCGCUCAACGGAUAAAAGGUACUCCGGGGAUAACAGGCUGAUACCGCCCAAGAGUUCAUAUCGACGGCGGUGUUUGGCACCUCGAUGUCGGCUCAUCACAUCCUGGGGCUGAAGUAGGUCCCAAGGGUAUGGCUGUUCGCCAUUUAAAGUGGUACGCGAGCUGGGUUUAGAACGUCGUGAGACAGUUCGGUCCCUAUCUGCCGUGGGCGCUGGAGAAUUGAGGGGGGCUGCUCCUAGUACGAGAGGACCGGAGUGGACGCAUCACUGGUGUUCGGGUUGUCAUGCCAAUGGCACUGCCCGGUAGCUAAAUGCGGAAGAGAUAAGUGCUGAAAGCAUCUAAGCACGAAACUUGCCCCGAGAUGAGUUCUCCCUGAGACUUUAAGUCUCCUGAAGGAACGUUGAAGACGACGACGUUGAUAGGCCGGGUGUGUAAGCGCAGCGAUGCGUUGAGCUAACCGGUACUAAUGAACCGUGAGGCUUAACCUUACAACGCCGAAG
Molecule: ribosomal RNA, 2923 nt
Filed under: Klebsiella pneumoniae
Lineage: Bacteria; Pseudomonadati; Pseudomonadota; Gammaproteobacteria; Enterobacterales; Enterobacteriaceae
Also listed under: 1 other name
Description: bacterial LSU rRNA
Rfam family: Bacterial large subunit ribosomal RNA
Source: RNAcentral